RNAcentral lists this long non-coding RNA (4715 nucleotides) under Homo sapiens (human). RNAcentral's name for it is "long non-coding RNA NONHSAT160927.1". Lineage: Eukaryota; Metazoa; Chordata; Mammalia; Primates; Hominidae. The record is from RNAcentral.
UAUUCUGAUGUCACCGCUUCCUAAUGAGAAGCUAGAAAAUGCAAUUCUAGAGUGAUACACCUUUAAGUCUUGAAGAAUGAAGAUGAAAUAUUCCAAACUAUGCUGCACAAGAGGAUGUGAACAGAAACAUCUGGACGGAGAAGAUCUUUUUUAUAUUCAGCCAUGCCAAUUGACCUACUACCCUCUCCAUAGCCAAAGGAAUGCCCAAAUUUCCACAGAAAGGCAUUUUUAGGUCUUACCUCAAAUGGUCCCAUGGAAUUAGGCUCUCAGGCCCUGGCCAUCACGGCACUAUCUGUGGAAGGAACUUCUGCAAAGCCUUCCUGGCUCCUUGAUGGAUUGGCUUUUUGGCUUAUGCCUGUAAUCCUACCACUUUGGGAAGCUGAGGCAGGAGGAUUGCUUGAGCCCAGGAGUGCAAGACCAACCUGAGCAACAUUGUAGAACGUCAUCUCUGCAAAAACAAACAAACAAACAAAAAUUAGCUGGGACAGGACAGUCCAGAGAGAACCAACAGCCUUUGCCUGAGCUCUGCUCCAGAGCUCCUCCAGCCCCGUGAUCAGGCACUAACUAUAACAACUGAACCGAUGGAAGUAAAUCCUACCCCAGCGGGGCACUGGCAGGAUUAAAGCAGGUAGUGGAUAGCGUCUUGCACAGUACCAUAUACAGAGUAGGAUCUCCUACACGUGGUAGGAUUCUUGACUUGAAUAGAAACAGAACCCACAUAGCACAGCAAUAAGAAAAAUAAGAUUCUGCAGACACCAAUGCUAGUCUCAGGGCUGCCACUAACUAGGUAUGUGACUUUGACCAUGCCCCUUCACCUCCUGUCCGUGAUUUUCUCGCGUGUAAAAUGAGGCACUAUUGUUUAGAUUUCUCAAGGGCUUCCAGCUGUAACAUUCUACAGUCCUGUGCAUUGCUGGAAUUGCAGGGGAACAGGGGAGGGAGGGUAAACCUCACAUGUUCAUGUUUUAAAAUUUCAAAUGAAGAAAGUUGUUGUUUUCUCCUCUUCCCUUCUCCCCAGUGGUAGCAAACAAGCAAUAAAUAUGGAAAUCCUAAAAGCCAGAGAAAAUAGUGAGUGUUCUCCAUUUUGCUGACAAAGUACACAGAGGCUGCGUCACAAAAUGAAUGUGCUUAUCCCUCUUGUGUGCUGCAUGAAUUCCUCCCGGCCCGAGCAUGGCUGGACCACUCACAGGACAGCUGUCCUUUGUUCUGUCAGUACAGGGUCCCCUGCUUGUGUGCUGACCAGCGCAGCACUGGGUGACUACUGCAGAGUGAAGGUGUGUGUUCCUUCUCCAGGGAGCCCCGAACAGAUGGAAUCCAUGCUUAGUGCAGUGACUGGAAGGAGGUAGAAACAAUGCAGGUGAAUUGGGAGGGCAGUGCCGGGAGACAGCGGAAGAAAAGAGAAAAACAAAGGCAAGGUAGAGCAUUCCAGCUGCAGGCAGCCAAAGCCUCUCCUGCCAAGGGACAGGUAGCUGGUUUUCAAAAUUGUGCAGACAUACUCAGUAAUUGCUCUGCACCAUCUUGUCUGCCUUUUAAGCACAAGCGAGGAUUGCAUCUGACUCCCAUUACCAGCAAAUGUCCCAGGAAGGACCUUAAGUAAUAAGAGCCUUUUGAAGCUGAUCUUCAGAAGCCUCUUCCCAAGAUGGCACCUGGGAGGAGGUGUGGUUGUUUAGCGGCUCUGUCAGCCCCGGACGCACAAGUUGCUUAUACCCUGCGCAGCUGUCUAUGAUGAAGAAGCUCAUCCCUGUGGACCUUUCUCUUGAAUGCCUACUAUGAGUCACUCAGCAAGAGAGGCACCCAGCUCCCUCAAGGUCUGCAGUGCCUCGGAGGUAUUCAUACUGAGCUUUCAUCCCCCAGGCCCACUUCCCUCCAUGACACAGUCUCUGAACAUAUUAUUCCUCACGGAUGAUCACCUUCUUAACUCCAUCCAGACGUGUGCCUCUGUCUCACUAUUUAGCGUUGUCCUAGAAAAUACUGAGUAAUUGUUUCAUGCGUAUACAUCAUGUUUCCUCAAGUAGAAUCUACCUUUAUACAAUCAAAAGUGUCAGAUUGAUGGAUGAGUAGCAGGUAAAUUUCUGAUAAAGAGAAUUAAAUUAAGUGUUAAUUGUAGAAUCUAGUGAUGGGUUUAUGGGUCUUAACUGUAAAAAUCUUUCAUCUUUUCUGUAUGUUUGAUAACUUUCAUAUAAAAAUAAUAAAAACUUUAGUUUAUCUUGAACAAGAACCCUCCUCCUAUGGCUGUUGGGGUGCAAGUACCCAUUUGCCUAUUGGAACUGCCUUAGGGAAGAUACGGUUAAACACAGACCCCACCCCGCAAGUUAUUCUAUUGAGGAAAAGUGGAAAUAAGGUGAGUGCUACUACCCAACCACCCAACCCACACCUCUGUUACAAUACUGGCUUUUUGACAAGGAAGCAUUCAUUCUUUCUGGCAAAACAUUGUCCACUCUUAGCAGUUCUUCCACGGAUAUCAGACCUAUAUGCCAGUGGCAACACAGUAAGUCAGUAGCAUUCUAUAAGCACUCGUUCAACCAUGUUUUCGGCGUGGUUUCUAUGUGUCAGUCAUUAUCCCAAGCGGUGGCCAAGGAGAAGCUACAGAAGCAGAUUCGACCAGGCCCUUUCUUUGAAUAGUCUGUGGUCCCAUGAGGGAGGCAGGUGAGAAUCAAGGCUCUGUGAUAACUGUUCCAAGGGAGAUACACACAGAGCAUGUGGCAUGCUAAGCUCCUCUUGGGGUAAUUGCAAUGUUUGCCUUCUUUCCUUUGAGGACUUAAGUGUGAAGCCUGUGCACCUGGAAUGGGAGGGGACAGGGAUUCUCAUAAGAACCUUUAUGCCAUUUGUAUAGCAGUUAACAGACUGACAAGAAUUUCAAAAUAGCAUCAGACGAGGCGAUGAGCAUAGGGGUCCUUAGAAAUAUUUGCUUGUUUUAUGGUCAGAGGCCUGCAGGAAGCAGCUAAUAACUGAUCUCUUCCCAUAGCCCCUAAUGUCCUCUCCGUUUCAAUCAUGGACCAGAGUAUAGUGUGACAUUUCCCAUAUUAUUGAUUUGAGUUGUUAUUUAUUUCUUUUAUUGCCAUAUAACUGUUUACACCCUUGGCUAGAAUUUAAGAUGCCGGAAGACAAGAUAGUGCCUUGUUCCCCUGCCUCCACUAGCACAGCACCUGACUCACAGUAGGCAAUCAAUGCACCGAUUAAUUAAGUCCUCCUUCUGCUGAGGGCCCAUCGUCCUUUGGCUGUCCCAGAGAGCUAACACCUGUCCCCGGGACCACCCUAGACACAAUGGCACGCAGACGAACGAGCCUCCUUCGUCUACCUUCCCUCCGCGAGCAGCAUCAAGGACCUGAGAGGCAAACUCAAGGUGAAUUUUAAAACACCUUCAGUGGUGGUUGCAGAGCAAACCUGCCUGCAAGAAAAGGAUUUUUUCCAUCUUUCUUCAGCGCCACUGGAGCGGCUCCUUCCAUUGAAAAUACAGGGAUUUGUGCUGCAUGAUUGUGCAGGGAGUGGGGGCCGAGUCCACGCCAGUCAUCAAGGGCUCAGCAUGCUCAGAAGGGCUUUGUGCUCCAGGCACUCCAGCAGCCUGGCUUGGCCUUAGCACAUCCCCCUUCCUGAAGAGGCCACAGUACAACCACUUCAGCAAGUGACUUUUCAGUAAUGGCUCUGUGUGCCCAAAAGGGAAAUCAAUGUGACGGUUAGAAAAGUUUCUUUUUUUCUUCCAGUCCUGUGCUGUCCCCAAAAUAUCAGAAUAAGGUUUGUUAUCUGGGCAAAGGAACAAGCGCAAGAUUUUCUUUUAUGUUGGGUGAGGAGCUAAAGGACUAAACAUUUUUGAAAACCUAUGAUGUACCAGAGACUGUCUCACAUCCUGCCCUAUUUAAUGUUACCAGGAGAUCGUUGGUAAGGUGUUACCCCCAUCUUAAAGAGGAGGGGACCAAGAUUCAGGGAUGCUUCACAAGCUAAUAACUAAAACUUAAUUCUAAAGUGUGUGGGGUGCGUGUGUGUGUGUGCAUGUGUGUGCAUGCAUGUGUGCAUGUGUGUCUGGUCUGAUGUCUUAGUGUUCAUAUCCAUGAGCAUCAGGAGAGCUUCCACUUCACCCAUGUUUCAAACUCUAGAGAGGCUGCUCCCCCUGCUGAGUAGCCUGGUCGUGGCCGUGGCUGGGUGAUGGCUGUUUGGAUGCUCUCAGAAAUGUCGUAAGCAGUUCACUUAUUAUUCAGGGAAACAUCCAACAAAGUGAUGGCUUCUUUCCUUGCUAUCACUAUCUACUGCCAGCUGUUCACUUGAAUUGAAGGAUAUGAGGGACUGAAUGCUGAAUUCACGAAUGCAGCUAACCGCCCCCCUCCAGACCCCAGAGGAGCCAUUAGGAUGAGUGUUUAUGGAGCAGCACUGCCUGGAAAUGCCAAGGCCCAGUAAGGAAUGAGAGGUGAACGGAGAAAUACACGCGUCCCUGGAUCCCUCCCUGGGUGGGGAAGACUGUGUCGUGGGACAGGGGGCUUCAAAUCUAUGGGAAAACACAGCAAAUACACUUCUAGUUCUGAAUCCAGUGAGGAUUUGAUCUCCAUCAGCCAGAGGGAAUCACAUCUCGCCAUGGAUAUGAUGACUUCUGCCCUGCCAAAGCCAAGGUUGAUCUCAGGUCUCUCGUCCUCCACCCUGCACUCAGGCAACAAAAGCAUUCGAUCAGAUGCUGUGUUACACAGCUCUGAUGUGCCGGGCUGGUCCUGGGUGCCAAGGAUACAUCUAUC